Molecule: ribosomal RNA, 468 nt
Filed under: uncultured bacterium
Lineage: Bacteria
Description: partial 16S ribosomal RNA
Rfam family: Bacterial small subunit ribosomal RNA
Source: RNAcentral
GACGAACGCUGGCGGCGUGCUUAACACAUGCGAGUCGAACGGAAAGGCCCUGCUUUUGUGGGGUGCUCGAGUGGCGAACGGGUGAGUAACACGUGAGUAACCUGCCCUUGACUUUGGGAUAACUUCAGGAAACUGGGGCUAAUACCGGAUAGGAGCUCCUGCUGCAUGGUGGGGGUUGGAAAGUUUCGGCGGUUGGGGAUGGACUCGCGGCUUAUCAGCUUGUUGGUGGGGUAGUGGCUUACCAAGGCUUUGACGGGUAGCCGGCCUGAGAGGGUGACCGGCCACAUUGGGACUGAGAGACGGCCCAGACUCCUACGGGAGGCAGCAGUGGGGAAUAUUGCACAAUGGGCGGAAGCCUGAUGCAGCAACGCCGCGUGCGGGAUGACGGCCUUCGGGUUGUAAACCGCUUUCGCCUGUGACGAAGCGUGAGUGACGGUAAUGGGUAAAGAAGCACCGGCUAACUACGUG